Long non-coding RNA from Anopheles stephensi (Asian malaria mosquito), 629 nucleotides. RefSeq lists it as uncharacterized. The transcript has 3 exons. The record is from RefSeq and is a predicted model, not a curated record. NCBI's taxonomy places the organism in Eukaryota, Metazoa, Arthropoda, Insecta, Diptera, Culicidae.
CCCCGGCAAACAAUUCGGGUCAGUUUGUAGGUGAGGGAUCUUACUUAUUACCGAUAUGUGCAGUGCCGUGGAAAAACAAAAAUUGCUUCAAAAAAGCUGUGUGUGUGGCUGAUACUCCAGCAUCUUCCCAAUAUGUGUGUAAACAACGCCAAGAGUAUUACUGUUUUGUGAUCAUCAUAUUUCAUUCGAAUUGCACAUUACCGGGCAGAAAAAGCUUCAAGCAACCAAUUUUGUACAGCAUCCGCACGCUGUAUGAAGGUGUAAAACAAAUUUUCAUCUGUAAGAUGCUCUUCAAACCUGUCCAGUGACUCUUCGUUGCUUAUAUAUUGCAUCGGGAUGGUUUGAGCAUUGCGUCGCACGCCUUUCAUCGGGUGUAUUGUGGCCACUACCGCAGCCGUUUGGGCAGUUCGGGCAUCCAGUUUUAAUAAUGAACAUUGUGAACAAAAAUCGUGCCCAGGACAAGUUCUUUUUGCUUGAAUUAACUCUGUGUUCUUAUUUACAUGAAUAGAUACGGUGGACGGAUGAAUGAUGCUUGCUGACGACUGCUCUUCGUGAAAUGUUGAUCCCGGUGAUGAAACACACGGUUCCGGUGUGAUGCUUGGUGACGGCUGACGGAAUCCUUGAUGCAC